RNAcentral lists this unclassified non-coding RNA (371 nucleotides) under uncultured fungus. Its description in RNAcentral is "partial contains 5.8S ribosomal RNA and internal transcribed spacer 2". The stretch from base 1 to 134 matches the Rfam family "5.8S ribosomal RNA", at positions 22 to 154 of the family's 154-position model. Lineage: Eukaryota; Fungi. The record is from RNAcentral.
UGGCUCUCGCAUCGAUGAAGAACGCAGCAAAGCGCGAAAUGUAAUGUGAAUUGCAGAAUUCAGUGAAUCAUCGAAUCUUUGAACGCACCUUGCGCUCUCGGGCUAUUCCUGAGAGCAUGCUUGUUUGAGUGUCGCGUACCUCUCAACCCCGCCUUUUCCUUUGCGGAAAGGGUCGUUCCAGGGUUGGAUCAUGGCGCCCGUGUCGUUUGAAUUGAACGACUGCGCUGAAUUACAGCAAGCCGAAUCCAAGGGCUAGGCGGCUUGACCCGUUGUCAUAAGCUCACACUUUCAAUGGGAACGCCAGCCGGAAUGGGCUUACCACAAAUGAAUUUUUAUACAUUGACCUCAAAUCAAGUAGGACUACCCGCUGA